This 792-nucleotide ribosomal RNA is filed under the name uncultured Antithamnion sp. Its description in RNAcentral is "bacterial SSU rRNA". It matches the Rfam family "Bacterial small subunit ribosomal RNA", at positions 31 to 829 of the family's 1533-position model. The record is from RNAcentral. Lineage: Eukaryota; Rhodophyta; Florideophyceae; Ceramiales; Ceramiaceae.
UAACGCUGGCGGUUUGCCCUAACACAUGCAAGUCGAACGAAAGUUUAUACUUUAGUGGCGGACGGGUGAGUAAUACGUGAGAAUCUACUUUAGGAAGGGAAUAACAAUUGGAAGCGAUUGCUAAUGCCCUAUAUGCUUAGCAGUGAAACAGAUUUAUCUGCCUGAAGAUGAGCUCGCGCCUGAUUAGCUAGUUGGUAGAGUAAAAGCCUACCAAGGCAACGAUCAGUAGCUGGUUUGAGAGGACGAUCAGCCACACUGGGACUGAGACACGGCCCAGACUUCUACGGAAGGCAGCAGUGGGGAAUUUUCCGCAAUGAGCGAAAGCUUGACGGAGCAAUACCGCGUGAGGGAAGAAUGCCUGUGGGUUGUAAACCUCUUUUUUUAGGGAAGAAAAUAUGACGGUACCUAAAGAAUAAGCAUCGGCUAACUCCGUGCCAGCAGCCGCGGUAAUACGGGGGAUGCAAGCGUUAUCCGGAAUUACUGGGCGUAAAGCGUCUGCAGGUGGCUUAAAAAGUCUGCUGUUAAAUAUUAGAGCUCAACUCUGAGUAAGCAGUGGAAACUGUUAGGCUAGAGUAUGGUAUGGGUAAAGGGAACUCCCAGUGUUAGCCGGUGAACAUGCGUUAGAUAUUUGGGGAAAGAAACACCCAGUAAGACGAAAAAGCCGCCUUUACUAGAACCAUUUACCUGGACACCUUCCAGGAGACGAAAAGCCUAGGGGGAGCACACUGGGGGAUUUAAGAUACACCCCACUAGUUCCCUACGCCGCUAAAACCGAAUGGGUUACUUAAAUGU